AACGCUGGCGGCACGCUUAACACAUGCAAGUCGAACGGAGUUAUUUGAGUUACUUAGAAUAACUAGUGGCGGACGGGUGAGUAACACGUGAGCAACCUACCUUAGAGAGAGGGAUAGCUUCUGGAAACGGAUGGUAAUACCUCAUAAUGUAACUGUACCGCAUGAUACAGUUACCAAAGAUUUAUCACUCUGAGAUGGGCUCGCGUCUGAUUAGAUAGUUGGUGAGGUAACGGCUCACCAAGUCGACGAUCAGUAGCCGGACUGAGAGGUUGAACGGCCACAUUGGGACUGAGACACGGCCCAGACUCCUACGGGAGGCAGCAGUGGGGAAUAUUGCACAAUGGGGGAAACCCUGAUGCAGCGAUGCCGCGUGGAGGAAGAAGGUUUUCGGAUUGUAAACUCCUGUCUUAAAGGACGAUAAUGACGGUACUUUAGGAGGAAGCUCCGGCUAACUACGUGCCAGCCGCAGC
Molecule: ribosomal RNA, 470 nt
Filed under: uncultured bacterium
Lineage: Bacteria
Description: bacterial SSU rRNA
Rfam family: Bacterial small subunit ribosomal RNA
Source: RNAcentral